RNAcentral lists this long non-coding RNA (392 nucleotides) under Ananas comosus (pineapple). RNAcentral's name for it is "long non-coding RNA (ACOM_LNC041058)". The record is from RNAcentral. Lineage: Eukaryota; Viridiplantae; Streptophyta; Magnoliopsida; Poales; Bromeliaceae.
ACGGUAAAAAAAAAUUUUUUAAAAAUUUUUUAAAUUUUAAAUUGAUUAGAUCAAUUUAAAAGAUAUAAACAUAAUAAUGGGAAAAAGGAAAAUCUAAUUUGAUUAGAUCAAACUAACAUCUUGAUAUGAUCAAGUUGUUAUGUUUAAAGAUUAAGUUGUUGAUCAAAAUUAUAAACGAUCAAUAAGAUUGAUUGUUUUUAAUAAUUUAGUCACUAAUUUUUCGAAUCGUCGUUGAACGGUUAAUUAGAAUAUCCAAAGUUAAUUAUUAUGAAUGUGAUGUAUGAGAUACAUAUCGGUGAUGAUCAUGGAUAGCGACCUAUUUAUUUUUGUUUCGACAUGUGAUGUAUAAUGUGUAUGCAGAAUCCUGUAAUUUUAAAUUUGUUUAAAUUAAG